RNAcentral lists this ribosomal RNA (253 nucleotides) under uncultured bacterium. RNAcentral describes it as "partial 16S ribosomal RNA". It matches the Rfam family "Bacterial small subunit ribosomal RNA", at positions 524 to 776 of the family's 1533-position model. The record is from RNAcentral.
UACGGAGGGGGCUAGCGUUGUUCGGAAUUACUGGGCGUAAAGCGAGCGCAGGCGGUUUUGUAAGUCAGAUGUGAAAGCCCCGGGCUCAACCUGGGAACUGCGUUUGAAACUGCAAGGCUAGAGUAUGGGAGAGGGGGGUAGAAUUCCACGUGUAGCAGUGAAAUGCGUAGAGAUGUGGAGGAAUACCAAUGGCGAAGGCAGCCCCCUGGCCUAAUACUGACGCUCAUGCUCGAAAGCGUGGGGAGCAAACAGG